GUCAGGUGCAGUGGCGCACACCUAUAAUCCCAGCAGCUUGGGAGGCUGAGGCAGGAGGAUCUUGAGUUCAGAGACAGCCUCAGCAAAGGCGAGGAGCUAAGCAACUCAGACCCUGUCUCUA
Molecule: small RNA, 121 nt
Filed under: Marmota monax (woodchuck)
Lineage: Eukaryota; Metazoa; Chordata; Mammalia; Rodentia; Sciuridae
Source: RNAcentral